GGUCGCGAUAAUGCUCGAAGCGCGGGAAGCGCAUGUCCCGACAGAACGAAGGAAAAGAGGAAGGGUUUUGACAGUUGUGUGACUAGUGAAAGUUGUAUUACACGGUUAAAAUUGGAACUGAAAAUGAUGAUUUGCGGUCCGAAGCUCUCCCUCUGCAUCAUUAUGAUUAGUGUGUGGGGCUUCUUUCAGUUGGUAUUAAUGGGUAUUUUUUAUAAUUUUACAAAUAUUGCGUUAGGGGAAGAUCUUGCAAGGGUUGAAGAAGUCAGUUUUGGAAAAACAGAAGAAUGCUAUAAGACUGCUGACAGAAAUUAUGUACAAGAUUCUCAGUGUUGAUGACUCCAGACUGUUGAUACUGGAACAAGUGGUCAGCAUACAUUUGCACAAAUCCUGAACAUUUCUUGCCCCAGCCAUGUUUUUCAAAGAAGAAACUGGAAUAAUUAAUGGGAACCUUUGCCACAGUGCAUUA
Molecule: long non-coding RNA, 466 nt
Organism: Cryptotermes secundus
Lineage: Eukaryota; Metazoa; Arthropoda; Insecta; Blattodea; Kalotermitidae
Exons: 3
Source: RefSeq, a predicted model, not a curated record